AGCUUUGCAAAGUGGCAGUAUCGUAGCCAAUGAGGUUUAUCCGAGGCGCGAUUAUUGCUAAUUGAAACAUAUAUCAAUUCUUUUUUUUUUUUAACGUUCUUAGUUUAUUAAUCCUCUCAUGAAAAAUCUGCACAAUCACCAAAGAU
This is a small nuclear RNA of Mustela erminea (ermine), 146 nucleotides long. RefSeq annotates it as U4 spliceosomal RNA. The transcript has a single exon. NCBI's taxonomy places the organism in Eukaryota, Metazoa, Chordata, Mammalia, Carnivora, Mustelidae. The record is from RefSeq and is a predicted model, not a curated record.